GAAACAGCAACAGAUUCCGGUGUCUGGCACUGCCCGUGUCAGAUGAAAAGGGAAGCGGGGUGCAACUCCCCCACGGACCCGCCACUGUGAGCGACGACGACGGAUCACUUUGCCACUGGCCUCUCAGGUUGGGAAGGCGAUCGGGAGGAUGAAUCGCAAGUCAGGAGACCUGCCGGAAUCACACAGGCCUG
This 191-nucleotide non-coding RNA is filed under the name Desulfurispirillum indicum S5. The record is from RNAcentral. RNAcentral also lists the same sequence under 1 other name. Lineage: Bacteria; Pseudomonadati; Chrysiogenota; Chrysiogenia; Chrysiogenales; Chrysiogenaceae.